RNAcentral lists this ribosomal RNA (292 nucleotides) under uncultured bacterium. Its description in RNAcentral is "partial 16S ribosomal RNA". It matches the Rfam family "Bacterial small subunit ribosomal RNA", at positions 505 to 796 of the family's 1533-position model. The record is from RNAcentral.
GUGUCAGCAGCCGCGGUAAUACGAAGGGGGCUAGCGUUGUUCGGAAUUACUGGGCGUAAAGGGCGCGCAGGCGGCCUAUCAAGUCAGAUGUGAAAGCCCCGGGCUCAACCUGGGAACUGCAUUUGAGACUGAUAGGCUUGAGUUCGGGAGAGGAGAGCGGAAUUCCCAGUGUAGAGGUGAAAUUCGUAGAUAUUGGGAAGAACACCGGUGGCGAAGGCGGCUCUCUGGACCGAUACUGACGCUGAGGCGCGAAAGCGUGGGGAGCAAACAGGAUUAGAUACCCUAGUAGUCC